AAGUCGUAACAAGGUUUCCGUAGGUGAACCUGCGGAAGGAUCAUUAUUGAAAUAAACCUGAUGGGUUGUUGCUGGUUCUCUAGGGAGCAUGUGCACGCCUUGUCAUCUUUAUAUCUCCACCUGUGCACCUUUUGUAGACCUUCCAGGUCUAUGUUGCUCCAUUUACCCCAAUGUAUGUUAAUAGAAUGUUGUGUUUAUAAAAUCUAUACAACUUUCAGCAACGGAUCUCUUGGCUCUCGCAUCGAUGAAGAACGCAGCGAAAUGCGAUAAGUAAUGUGAAUUGCAGAAUUCAGUGAAUCAUCGAAUCUUUGAACGCACCUUGCGCUCCUUGGUAUUCCGAGGAGCAUGCCUGUUUGAGUGUCAUUAAUAUAUAUAUCAACCUUCUCUUGUUGGAGUGGUUUGGAUGUGGGGGUUUGCUGGCCUCUUAAAAGGUUCAGCUCCCUUGAAAUGCAUUAGCAGAACGGACCUGUUCAUUGGUGUGAUAACUAUCUACGCUAUUGAAUGUGAGGGGAUGUUCAGCUUUCUAACUGUCCUUGGACAAUUUAUCAUUUUAUGUGACCUCAAAUCAGGUAGGACUACCCGCUGAACUUAAGCAUAUCAAUAAGCGGAGGAAAAGAAACUAACAAGGAUUCCCCUAGUAACUGCGAGUGAAGCGGGAAAAGCUCAAAUUUAAAAUCUGGCGGUCU
Molecule: ribosomal RNA, 686 nt
Filed under: uncultured Cortinarius
Lineage: Eukaryota; Fungi; Basidiomycota; Agaricomycetes; Agaricales; Cortinariaceae
Description: eukaryotic LSU rRNA
Rfam family: 5.8S ribosomal RNA (bases 210-363)
Source: RNAcentral